AUCCAGCUGAUUAGUCUCAAAGAGGACGAAACGAGUGUCUUGGAU
Schistosoma curassoni is the source of this 45-nucleotide non-coding RNA. The record is from Rfam. Lineage: Eukaryota; Metazoa; Platyhelminthes; Trematoda; Strigeidida; Schistosomatidae.